Long non-coding RNA from Mauremys reevesii (Reeves's turtle), 617 nucleotides. RefSeq lists it as uncharacterized. The record is from RefSeq and is a predicted model, not a curated record. The transcript is spliced from 5 exons. Lineage: Eukaryota; Metazoa; Chordata; Testudines; Geoemydidae.
GAUGCCAGAAGUAGGUUAUUUCCUUCUUGGUAGAGACUGGAAACAAGGAGGAGAGCUAGCAUCUAUAUGACCAGCCAGAUAUCCUUAAACCAUGGCCUGCCUCAACUCUCACUGAAGUCAAUGGAAAACUACAGACAUGGCAUCAAAAUAACGAUAUCAGUCACGGUAUAUUCACUCUCCCACAAAGAUGCCAAAGUUUCUAGUAAAGGGAAGUGAAGCAGAAGUAGUAAGAACUAAUAAAUAGAAAAACAAGGAAAGACAGACACCUGUCCAGCUCCGAUAAGGAAAAUCUGGAUCUCUCACAUCCCUCAAAAGUGGAAUUUCAGAGGCAGAGUCUUUGAAAUAUAACAGGUUCUGUUCACAAUACAGGAAGGGAAGAGAAUCAGUGCUUCACACGUUUUGUGAAUUGUAUGACCAACUGCAUUGCAUUAGCUUGUUUUAUGUCAGCCAAACUCAUUAUUACAGGUGAGUGAACCAUAAAAAAUUCUCAGUCUAUGAGCAAUAUCCUGAAGAACUGCACUGAACCCAAAUGACAAAUAUGAUCUCACUUCAAAUGAUUUUUAAAUUACAUACAUACCAUUACUCAUGCAUGGCAUUGCUGCACAUUUCCAGCCUUG